GAUGUUGGGUUAAGUCCCGCAACGAGCGCAACCUUGUCUUAUGUUGCCAGCACGUAAUGGUGGGGACUCGUAAGAGACUGCCGGGGUCAACUCGGAGGAAGGUGGGGACGACGUCAAGUCAUCAUGCCCCUUAUGUCCAGGGCUUCACACAUGCUACAAUGGCCAGUACAGAGGGCUGCGAGACCGUGAGGUGGAGCGAAUCCCUUAAAGCUGGUCUCAGUUCGGAUCGGGGUCUGCAACUCGACCCCGUGAAGUCGGAGUCGCUAGUAAUCGCAGAUCAGCAACGCUGCGGUGAAUACGUUCCCGGGCCUU
This 312-nucleotide ribosomal RNA is filed under the name uncultured Rhodococcus sp. Its description in RNAcentral is "bacterial SSU rRNA". It matches the Rfam family "Bacterial small subunit ribosomal RNA", at positions 1071 to 1382 of the family's 1533-position model. The record is from RNAcentral. Lineage: Bacteria; Bacillati; Actinomycetota; Actinomycetes; Mycobacteriales; Nocardiaceae.